RNAcentral lists this ribosomal RNA (161 nucleotides) under Hordeum patagonicum subsp. santacrucense. RNAcentral's name for it is "5.8S ribosomal RNA". It matches the Rfam family "5.8S ribosomal RNA". From Rfam's summary of the family: 5.8S ribosomal RNA (5.8S rRNA) is a component of the large subunit of the eukaryotic ribosome. The record is from RNAcentral. Lineage: Eukaryota; Viridiplantae; Streptophyta; Magnoliopsida; Poales; Poaceae.
ACGACUCUCGGCAACGGAUAUCUCGGCUCUCGCAUCGAUGAAGAACGUAGCGAAAUGCGAUACCUGGUGUGAAUUGCAGAAUCCCACGAACCAUCGAGUCUUUGAACGGAAGUUGCGCCCGAGGCCACUCGGCCGAGGGCACGCCUGCCUGGGUGUCACGC